RNAcentral lists this ribosomal RNA (670 nucleotides) under Thinophilus sp. 4 SNK-2009. RNAcentral describes it as "SSU rRNA". It matches the Rfam family "Eukaryotic small subunit ribosomal RNA", at positions 558 to 1161 of the family's 1831-position model. The record is from RNAcentral. Lineage: Eukaryota; Metazoa; Arthropoda; Insecta; Diptera; Dolichopodidae.
AGUCUGGUGCCAGCAGCCGCGGUAAUUCCAGCUCCAAUAGCGUAUAUUAAAAUUGUUGCGGUUAAAACGUUCGUAGUUGAACUUGUGCUUCAUACGGGUAGUACACCUAAAAUUUGGGUUAGUACAUUACCUUAUUGUAUGUAAGCGUAUUACUGGUGGAGCAUCUAUAUACUAUAUUUUUAUUAAUAUAGUAUAUAUUUCUCCUACUAAACCUGAUUCAAUGCUCUUCACCGAGUGUUGUUUUGGGCCAGUACAAUUACUUUGAACAAAUUAGAGUGCUUAAAGCAGGCUCUUAAUGCCUGAAUAUUCUGUGCAUGGAAUAAUGGAAUAAGACCUCUGUUCUAAUUUCAUUGGUUUUUAGAUCAAGAGGUAAUGAUUAAUAGAAGCAGUUGGGGGCAUUAGUAUUACGACGCGAGAGGUGAAAUUCUUGGACCGUCGUAAGACUAACUUAAGCGAAAGCAUUUGCCAAAGAUGUUUUCAUUAAUCAAGAACGAAAGUUAGAGGUUCGAAGGCGAUCAGAUACCGCCCUAGUUCUAACCAUAAACGAUGCCAACCAGCAAUUGGGUGUAGCUACUACUAUGGCUCUCUCAGUCGCUUCCCGGGAAACCAAAGUUUUUGGGCUCCGGGGGAAGUAUGGUUGCAAAGCUGAAACUUAAAGGAAUUGACGGAA